GGGAGGGAGGCUGUGUAUGGCCUGAAGGUAGCAGAGGAGGAUCAUAGUCGAGACUAAGGUUGACAGGUCGGAUCCUCAGUACUCACGCACUGCACCAUUUCUAUCAGAGGGCCAUUUGUCAAACGACAUUCGGAAUACCACUUGCAAUGUGCAGGUAGGAUUCAGCUACUGAUGAUCACUGCGCCUGGACCCAGCCCACACAGACUGGGCGAAUCCAUGGCUAGGCAAAGUGAUCGGUAACAAGCAUCACAACAAUAAAAGCGGUGGCGCGGCUCUGGUGUCAUGGUUCGACCUCUUCGAUGAAAACCAAGCACCAACAAAAAUAAACCCGUCACAGAUUUCCUGGGGAAAGACAUCUUGCAGCGGCGGCAGGGAGGUGAGGUGAGCGGAGCUGAGCUGAGCUGCUGACUGUCACUGACAUGCUCCUGUCCGCCAGAAGCGGCCUCUCUGCGGCGCUCCUUCUCUCCACUCUCUGGCGCCAAGCAGCAGCGCCAUGUCUCUGAUGGGACCCACGCGUAAUUAUUGGAUAACCACAAGUAAAGGAAAACAUUCUCUGGCUGCUGCAAACCAUUUUUUUAAAAAGGAAUUGGGACAAAAGAACUUCAACUACAAAACCAAGAAUUUCAAAAUUGUAAUUAGUAAUCUAUUCAUAAUCUCCACUGCAUGUGCACAUCUAUCUGUUCUUUGUGAAUAGUUCAGACAC
Molecule: long non-coding RNA, 703 nt
Organism: Hemiscyllium ocellatum (epaulette shark)
Lineage: Eukaryota; Metazoa; Chordata; Chondrichthyes; Orectolobiformes; Hemiscylliidae
Exons: 3
Source: RefSeq, a predicted model, not a curated record